UUGAAUGUCUGCCCCUAUAAUGGUAUAUAUUCGUAAUCAGAGGAGCGAAAUCUAUAAGUGUACAAAGUUUCAAUGAAAUUGGUGAGUUGAAGGUCUUGCACUCUCCUUGUAAGUCUAAGGUUUGCAACAUGUUAGAAACGUAUAGAAAUAACCAUGCAUUACAUUAGAGCAUGCCGCUGACCUUUUGACUCCGUGACUAUUAUAGUCAAAGUUUUGAUCAGUCUGCAUUGUAGACUCUACAAAAAAUUUAGUCCAGUUCCGAUUUAUCUUAUCAACUUUUGAAGCUUAUUAUACGUAUUUUAACACUUUACCGACCGAUCGUGUCUCGCAAACUGAUUUACCGGCUUGGUAAAAAAUUGAUUGUUUCGAAGCGCACUCUUUAUACAAGGACGAUGAACGAUGACUCUGAGAACGUUAGUAAAGACGAAUAUAAAUAUUUACGUAUCGAAUAUUAGUCGUGUCGUUACAAAAUUAUGAUAUUUAUAUUAUACAAAUUACUUGUGAAUCUAAUGAUACAUUAGUCUAAUCAUUGGGAUGUAUAAUAAGACGAGCGACAUAGAAUAUGUGACGGUAGAAAAGAUACGAAGGACUUUUGGAAAUACAAACUUAAAUGAGAAGUGGGGUUGCCCCCACUCGCCGCUUGGCGGCGCGAGCCGAAGGAGUCAUUCGUUCCGUGGAAAUUGGCGCGAUACGACGUGCUGAGCGUUUCGCAAUUAACUAGGACUCUGAUUGAAAUUUGAACGGGAAUUUCGAGUCAUCGAUGCUACAAUGCUUGGCGUUUGAUUCAAACAGAAUCUCAUCAAGAGUGGUGAAGUUUGCAACUUAUUCAAACGAAACGGUAUCAUAUUUAUUCAUAUUUUU
Molecule: long non-coding RNA, 861 nt
Organism: Hylaeus volcanicus
Lineage: Eukaryota; Metazoa; Arthropoda; Insecta; Hymenoptera; Colletidae
Exons: 3
Source: RefSeq, a predicted model, not a curated record